This is a non-coding RNA of Manis javanica (Malayan pangolin), 1849 nucleotides long. Lineage: Eukaryota; Metazoa; Chordata; Mammalia; Pholidota; Manidae. The record is from RefSeq and is a predicted model, not a curated record.
GGAAAGAAAAACACAGCCCAGUAGCCGAGAGGUGCAAGCAGGCUGAGACAGCCCUCGUAGCAUCAAGUGCAGAGACCUCGGCUGAGACUCAGAGAGGCCCACGGUGCCUUGACUCAGACAGGCCAGGGACUGGAGAACCGUCCAGAAGAAUAUAAGAAAUGUAUCCAGAACUACUCUGCAAGGGAUGGUUGAACUUUUUUUAAUCUUCCGCCCCUUUAUAAUUCUUUACAAAAGGGGAAAGGGUUACUGCUAGGGUCCGUAACUUCUGUGAGGACAGUUCUUUUUUUCUCCGUUAUUCAGUCCUUAGCAAUGAACAUGUAUACCAUUUAAAAAAAUUUGAGUGAGUUAAUGGAUGAGUGAACAAAUGAUUGUGUCAAGCAAGGAAACAGAUCUAGUUGCUCCUAGACCUCUGGGCUGGGCUGGGGUUGUGACAGUCAGUCAGAACUAACCUGCUACGAUACGGUUGGAGUAAACGCUUUUGUUCACCAGCCAGAGGGAAAAAAGGCCCUAGGGACACACUUCCAAGGAUCAGCCUGUGAAUGACUCUUUCUCUAUCCUUUCCUGCCAGGAACAUGCCUGUACCUUCACUGCCGGCGUCCCAGCGUGGGCGGCAGGUGAGGAAGCACAAAAGGGUGGACACAAGUUCCCCCCAGUCAACCGACUAACGCUCUGCUUCUAGGUUGGAGGCCCGUGACUAAGGGGAUUUUAGAGGCCACAGAAACACGGGCAUUGACUGAAUAGAAGGAGCCCACAGGGCAGAGCCCGGCCCUCCCACCGUGAGGUUCCUGCUCCAGGGCUCAGGCUUCUUAUGUGACCCAUGAAGAUAUCAGCAUGUAAAAUUGUCACCUUAACUGUACUAAAUGUGGCUUAUUGACAGUGUAAGAUUUAAUUACAAGAAUUCCGACAGGCAGGCAUUAGUGCGUCUAGUUUUACUUGAGGAGAGAGGCCCAUGCAGUUGGUGGCGGGGUGCACGGACCCGGGACCCCUGAUCCCGGCGGAUCCCCGGGGACCAUGCUCCCGGGGCCGCCGCCUCCUGACCCACAUGUGGGCGGGAGACCAAACCUGUGCCCCGCACUGACACGGGCAUUCUGAUGCUCAGGUGCUCCGAACCCGCGGGGCCCCUUGGCCCGCAUCCUGCUGCUGCCCAGAGGCGGCCCGUGCCCUGGGGUGUGUGUAACUGACGGCGCCCCGGUUACGGCUGCAGCGGACGGGCCUCGGGUCAGGGCUGCUCGUCCCCCGGAGCGUGGAAGCACCGCACAGGCAGUGAGCUGUUCCGCCAGGACGUCAUAGAUCCUGGGAAGCAGCACCGUUCAACAGAAGCAAAACGCAAGCCACACGUGCUAUUCAAAAUGUUCCAGUAGCCUCAAAGAAAGGAGAGACUGAAACAGUGAAACUGAUGGUAACGAUGUAGCCUAGAUGAAAUGUCCAAAGGUUUAUCACUUCCCCAUGUAUUUAAUAUACACUUGUUGAGUCUUCCUUUUUUUUUAAUACUGAGUCCCAGAAGGGGUGUGUGAUCCCCACUUACAGCGCAAACCAGACAAGCCACCCUCCGGACGCUCCAUCUUGCCACAGCACAAGCAGAGGCUCCUUCUGAGUAUUUUUGCCAGUGCGCUGCUGAUCCCAAUACGUGAGGAGCACAAGCACGUCCCAAACUCCUGAACUGGCUCCACUGGGUCCAGCAGGGCCGGGCCUGGGUGAGAGGGCAGGUGCCAGGGUGCCCCAGGCUUCCUGGCGGGAACGCUGCAUUCCCGCAUGUCUCCUGACCAGUUCCAGGCAGUUCCAGGAGGCGCUUCCGUGCGGGGCACAGUCUGAGCGGGACUGCUUCAGCGGCUGAGAGGUUAUAGGAAGA